Pecten maximus is the source of this 834-nucleotide long non-coding RNA. RefSeq lists it as uncharacterized. Lineage: Eukaryota; Metazoa; Mollusca; Bivalvia; Pectinida; Pectinidae. The transcript has 2 exons. The record is from RefSeq and is a predicted model, not a curated record.
CUCUGUAGGAUUAUUCCUUAAGGUAAAUUUGGAAUUAACUUGGUAAUUUCCAAUCCAUAGUGAUAACCGCAGCCCCUGGGAAAUCCCCAUAGGUGCAUGGUUGUACAAGUUUGCAUAUAAAUCCGAAUUGGGGGUAAAAUUCAAAUAUAUUGAAUUAUAAGGCCCCGAAUCAAUAAUUAAUUAGGGAUGACCUACAGAGUAGUCCAAAUUUUUUUGGUUAGACAUAAAUUGAACUAACAGCAUUAACUGUUCAUGUACACAAUAUAGUUGUUAACAAUAUCUUGAUCGUGAAACAGACAUACAAUGUUAAUGAUAUAUAAUAAUGGAAUUGCCACUACAAUCUUUAAUUUGCACACAAUCAAUAAGCUUACUAUAUAAACACAAGACUAUUUAUUCACCUUAGCCGGAUUGAUUUACAUUUCGAUUCUAAACAAUCAUUAAAAUCACACCCGACAAAUACUGUGGGAAACUUAUUGGAUAAAGCGGGCGGAACCCAUAGACAACCUGUAGGCCAGGGAACCCAGUAGGUCAGAUGUGGAGACCUCUGAGAGAGCCCCGCUGGUCAGAAGGCUGAUCCCCAAGAUUAAAGUAACAAUCAGGAAAAAACCUGUGGGAAACCCAGCAGGUCAGAUUGGCAAAGCCUAGGACAUGCAGGAUAAUACUAGACCCAGUGGAGACCCUAACAUGUCAGAUGGGCAAAGCCCAAAUUUAAGGUAAAUAUGGAUGAAAGCCUGUGGGGAACCCAGCAGGUUAGAUGGGCGGAGCCCACGACAUGCAGGAUGGCACUAACCUGUGGUGCACCAAUCAUGUCAAAUUGGCAAAUCAUAAACUAAA